RNAcentral lists this transfer RNA (54 nucleotides) under Moniliformis sp. XH-2020. Its description in RNAcentral is "tRNA-His". Lineage: Eukaryota; Metazoa; Acanthocephala; Archiacanthocephala; Moniliformida; Moniliformidae. The record is from RNAcentral.
UCAAAGUUAGUGAUUGGUCAUUCUAUAUUGUGGUUAUAGGGAUUUAUCUUUGAG